This 618-nucleotide ribosomal RNA is filed under the name uncultured fungus. RNAcentral describes it as "SSU rRNA". It matches the Rfam family "Eukaryotic small subunit ribosomal RNA", at positions 564 to 1186 of the family's 1831-position model. Lineage: Eukaryota; Fungi. The record is from RNAcentral.
GUGCCAGCCGCCGCGUAAUUCCAGCUCCAAUAGCGUAUAUUAAAGUUGUUGUGGUUAAAAAGCUCGUAGUUGAACCUUGGGCCUGGCUGGCCGGUCCGCCUCACCGCGUGCACUGGUCCGGCCGGGCCUUUCCCUCUGUGGAACCCCAUACCCUUCACUGGGCGUGGCGGGGAAACAGGACAUUUACUUUGAAAAAAUUAGAGUGCUCCAGGCAGGCCUAUGCUCGAAUACAUUAGCAUGGAAUAAUAAAAUAGGACGCGCGGUUCUUGUUUUGUUGGUUUAUAGGACCGCCGUAAUGAUUAAUAGGGACAGUCGGGGGCAUCAGUAUUCAACUGUCAGAGGUGAAAUUCUUGGAUCAGUUGAAGACUAGCUACUGCGAAAGCAUUUGCCAAGGAUGUUUUCAUUAAUCAGGAACGAAAGUUAGGGGAUCGAAGACGAUCAGAUACCGUCGUAGUCUUAACCAUAAACUAUGCCGACUAGGGAUCGGACGGUGUUAUUCAUGACCCGUUCGGCACCUUACGAGAAAUCAAAGUGCUUGGGCUCCAGGGGGAGUAUGGGUCGCAAGGCUGAAACUUAAAGAAAUUGACGGAAGGGGCACCACCAGGGGUGGAAGCCUGC